UAAACUGUGAUGACUCAAGUUCUGUCCCC
Molecule: non-coding RNA, 29 nt
Filed under: Mus musculus (house mouse)
Lineage: Eukaryota; Metazoa; Chordata; Mammalia; Rodentia; Muridae
Source: RNAcentral